This is a non-coding RNA of Coturnix japonica (Japanese quail), 1621 nucleotides long. The record is from RefSeq and is a predicted model, not a curated record. Lineage: Eukaryota; Metazoa; Chordata; Aves; Galliformes; Phasianidae.
AGCCAUGAACAGUGGCAGUAAUGAAAUGUCUCCUGGGUGUCUUGGAACGUUGUGAGAGGACCCAGGAGAGGUUCCCUGGGAAACCAGAGAUGAGCUCCAAAGCAUCUGCAGGCUUGGCCAGCUGACAGGUGCUCUGCUGCGCUCUGAACAUGGCUGCUAGACGGAUUGUUUGCAAGAAAAGGCUCGGUACAAGAAAAUGUCAACAUUGUUCAGAGAUGUCAGCAACAAAUCCACUCCAGCUAUAAAAUUGCUUCUGCAAGAACACGGAGAAAUCCGUGCGUUUAUCCUGAAGACAACUCUUUCAAACAAAUGUUCUAAUUAGGAACCACAACAUCCUAUUUCUUUUUUAAUACUCUAGUUGUAAUUGGACAACAAAUGUUGUUGAGCAAGAGAAUGUCAUCGUCUAAACAUGGAAAUGGAAUUUAAAGUUCUGCAUUCAAUUACAUUUGGGGGUCUGCCUUUCAUUUUGAGCUAAACCUGGAGAAUCUGAAACAACAUAGCUCCGUUCUUGCUUCUCUUCUGUAAAUGCCUGAGUUGAGAAAUUCUAUACACUCGCUACCAACCCUGUGAAUCAGAAAUCUGGGAAAUUAAAAGCAUACCGUUCUUCUCAGUGUACCCAAACAAGACCGAGCACAGAAAGGAAGACCGAGCAAAAAGAAAACCACCCAACAAAGCAGAAGGACUGUCUCCCGAGAUUUAACACACAGGCCAGACUGAAGUUGAGCUGUAGGUGGAUACAAUUUCCACAGUGCUUGUAGGGAAGCAUAGAGCAGGGCUGGAGCUGCUAAUUCUUUGGAAUGUGCAAAGAGUCUGUUAACACUGGAGAGCUGUGCUGCCUUUCCCUCUUCAGUGCACGGGAUGAAUUUAAUCACACUGCUUUAACCAUUUGCUUUUACUGCACUAGCAGAGGUCAUUUUGCACUGCGAACAGAUGUGAAGGUGAAUACGGCAUUCAUCAGAACACUUAACCCUCCCCGCAAAAAAAGAAACAGCCAACGAGCCCAAAAUGUUUGUUGACAUGAAUUGGUUUGAAAGGUUUCAUUUAAAAACAAAGACGUUGCACUUGUGAAAAUGGCACCACUGGCCUUUCAGGUGAACAUCAGUUAUUCCAUGGAAACACACCUUGCUGCGUAAAACAUGAUUACUGCUGUACUGCUGUUCCAUGACUACAAUUGCUCUCAAAGGUGCAAUUCUCAAGCCUUCCUUCCAAGAAAUGGCUUAUUUUUGAGUCUGUGACAUUACUCUGUUGAGAAGCAUUUUUACAGGGCCCCACGUUAAAUGGUGCCGUUUUUCAAAGGACACUGUACGUGACUGGUUAUUCUUCUAAGUGCACAGAAGGAACUAUUGCUGCUUAACCAGGAACGUGUAUCCCACUUCAGCAGCAAAUGUUGGAGUAAUUUGUCACCUGAUCAGAAUUCUGAUUUUAACACAAAUCAGUCGUGUACCUUUUAUUAACAGCAGCACUCGUAACACUGCUAUUGUGCACUUCCUACCUUCCAAACCUGUACUUAAUAAAGAAAUUAAAAGAAUCCUUUCUGCCUUUUGUUUUCAGGGAGUCUUUCACCAUAGAUCUGUUCUUCAGAAGUCUAAGGUCAAUUUUUCUAGGCCCUGCCUUCCUUAGG